UACAGAGGUCCCGAGCGUUGUUCGGAUUCACUGGGCGUGAAGGGUGCGUAGGUGGUGGCGCAAGUCGGAUGUGAAAUCUCGGAGCUCAACUCCGAAACUGCAUUGGAAACUACCUUGCUAGAGGGUUGGAGGGGGGACUGGAAUACUUGGUGUAGCAGUGAAAUGCGUAGAUAUCAAGUGGAACACCAGUGGCGAAGGCGAGUCCCUGGACAACUCCUGACACUGAGGCACGAAAGCUAGGGGAGCAAACAGG
Molecule: ribosomal RNA, 253 nt
Filed under: uncultured bacterium
Lineage: Bacteria
Description: partial 16S ribosomal RNA
Rfam family: Bacterial small subunit ribosomal RNA
Source: RNAcentral